This 563-nucleotide ribosomal RNA is filed under the name Campylobacter jejuni. RNAcentral's name for it is "partial 23S ribosomal RNA". It matches the Rfam family "Bacterial large subunit ribosomal RNA", at positions 1 to 583 of the family's 2925-position model. Lineage: Bacteria; Pseudomonadati; Campylobacterota; Epsilonproteobacteria; Campylobacterales; Campylobacteraceae. The record is from RNAcentral.
AAAGGUAAGCUACUAAGAGCGAAUGGUGGAUGCCUUGACUGGUAAAGGCGAUGAAGGACGUACUAGACUGCGAUAAGCUACGGGGAGCUGUCAAGAAGCUUUGAUCCGUAGAUUUCCGAAUGGGGCAACCCAAUGUAUAGAGAUAUACAUUACCUAUAUAGGAGCGAACGAGGGGAAUUGAAACAUCUUAGUACCCUCAGGAAAAGAAAUCAAUAGAGAUUGCGUCAGUAGCGGCGAGCGAAAGCGCAAGAGGGCAAACCCAGUGCUUGCACUGGGGGUUGUAGGACUGCAAUGUGCAAGAGCUGAGUUUAGCAGAACAUUCUGGAAAGUAUAGCCAUAGAGGGUGAUAGUCCCGUAUGCGAAAAACAAAGCUUAGCUAGCAGUAUCCUGAGUAGGGCGGGACACGAGGAAUCCUGUCUGAAUCCGGGUCGACCACGAUCCAACCCUAAAUACUAAUACCAGAUCGAUAGUGCACAAGUACCGUGAGGGAAAGGUGAAAAGAACUGAGGUGAUCAGAGUGAAAUAGAACCUGAAACCAUUUGCUUACAAUCAUUCAGAGCACU